AUUGAACGCUGGCGGCAUGCUUUACACAUGCAAGUCGAACGGCAGCACGGACUUCGGUCUGGUGGCGAGUGGCGAACGGGUGAGUAAUGUAUCGGAACGUGCCCAGUCGUGGGGGAUAACGUAGUGAAAAUUACGCUAAUACCGCAUACGAUCUAUGGAUGAAAGCGGGGGAUCGCAAGACCUCGAGCGAUUGGAGCGGCCGAUAUCAGAUUAGGUAGUUGGUGGGGUAAAGGCCCACCAAGCAAACGAUCUGUAGCUGGUCUGAGAGGACGACCAGCCACACUGGAACUGAGACACGGUACAGACGCCUACGGGAGGCAGCAGUGGGGAAUUUUGGACAAUGGGCGAAAGCCUGAUCCAGCCAUUCCGCGUGCAGGAUGAAGGCCCUCGGGUUGUAAACUGCUUUUGUACAGAACGAAAAGGUUUCUACUAAUACUAGGAGCUCAUGACGGUACUGUAAGAAUAAGCACCGGCUAACUACGUGCCAGCAGCCGCCGUAA
This 500-nucleotide ribosomal RNA is filed under the name uncultured bacterium. RNAcentral's name for it is "partial 16S ribosomal RNA". It matches the Rfam family "Bacterial small subunit ribosomal RNA", at positions 30 to 523 of the family's 1533-position model. The record is from RNAcentral.